UUUUUUUUUUUCAUUUAUUUUGAAAGGUGCAUUCACCAUGGUUACCAUUGUUUUCAAUGUCACAGUUCUCCAUAUCUCAAAGGCACGGAAAACAUUCUGUACUUUCAAAUCAGGGAGCAGACAAAUACAUUUUUUUAUUGUAACUUAUUUUUCACUAGAACCUUUAUGUUCAAAUCUACAAUAUGAUUAGUCACCUGUACAGACUGAAAUCUGGAUAGCUGGAGAUGUUUUUAUUCAGUUGCUUUUAAACAAACAGCAACCAAACAUCAUUUAAAAUACGUGGAUUAAAAUGUCAUACCUCCACAUCAGUAGAUUUAAACUUGCUAAAGCAAGUUCUCUCGGCAUCUCCGUAAAAUAAUGUGUUCUUUAUAAAAAAACAAAAACAAAAAGCUUUAAAUCACAGUCUAAAUACUGUCAUAUACACUGCCUCACACUUAAUUGCAGUGAAACCUGUCAUAAUCCACCCAGCAGAGAAUGUACAGGUUGCUUUCAGGUAAAUAUAGAAUUCAAUAUUCAUGUAAUAUUAACUUUGUGAUAAAAGAUUAUUUCUAAAUAAUUCUUUUUUGUUUGUUUGUUUGUUUUUUUGGCUUUUUACAGCAGCCCCUGAGGCAUAUGGAGCGGCCCUAGAAAAGGCAAAAAAACAGAAAAAAAAAAAAAAUGCAUGGCUAAAGCAUAUGUUCUGCAAAGAAAAUGUAUGAAAGCCAAUAAGUAAAUCUUAGAGCAAUGAACACAAACACCAACCACAGUCUUGGCAUGGUUUUCACUCAGACACCUGACUCCUUUGAAACACUGCACACACCGUGGAGGGGAUCACAAAUUAGUCAGGUCAUAAAGUUGUGCACCUGGAAAUAUUUACUAUACUAAUAAGUUACCCAGAAGGUAGGAAAAUCAUGGUGUCUUACAAAUGGAGUGAUGGAGUUGAUUAUUUUAAUAAAAAGUCAAACCACUGAUGAAAUAACGAAAACUUCCUUACACAGUUGAAGGAACUCUUGAACCAAAGUCACAGCAUCUUCAGGGCUUUAUCUUCGUUGCAAAAUGGAACUCUCCACAUUAUUACAGGCUGCUAUGGAACCUGCAGAAUAUUGCCAAAGGUUUAUUUUAGCCAUUCCUCCAACUCUGAUUAGUUACACCAAAGCUAUAAAAAUUAAACAGAAGUGAUUCAGCUUCAGCAGCCCCAGCCGGUUAUGACAGGCCAUCAUGGGAGGACCUGGAGACCUACAAAAGGAACCUGGCCCCUUAACGAGGUUUGCAUAAGUGGGUCAGCAGGCACCUGUGACAGGGUUCGGCCUCUUGAAGAAACAUAUAUUCCCUGCAGCAGCCUGGACCAAUUUUCGACAGCUGGGAAUUGAACCUUUAGGCUUUUAAAAGUCAUUGGUCAGAGUUCCCGUUGUGGUUCAGUGGUUAAUGAACCUGACUAGUUAGUAUCCAUGAGGACACAGGCUAGAUCCCUGGCCUCGCUCAGUGGGAUAAAGAUCCAGCGUUGCCGUGAGCUGUGGUAUAGGUCGCAGAUGGGGCUCGGAACCCGCAUUGCGGUGGCUGUGGUGUAGGCCGGUGGCUACAGCUCUGAUUUGACCCCUAGCCUGGGAACUUCCAUAUGCCAAAGGAGCAGCCCUAAAAAGACAAACCACACACACCAAAAAAAUAAAUACAUAAAAGUCACUGGUUGUUUUUUUUUUCUAGAAGAAAACAUAAAUAUUUUCGCCACGUUUUAGGUUGUACACGGAGAAAGUGUGUGUGUGUAUAAUAUUAAUAUUUCUUUUCUCUUGAAAGAGAUAAAGUAACUUUAAGGUUACGCUUACUAAACAUUUAAUGUUGAAAGAUUCAAUGAAAAGGUCAUUCUCAAAUGUGUAGUUCAUUUCUUGAGCCCAGCAACUGCAGGGGGAAAGAAUAAUUACUAGCAGAAAUACCUAAGCUAAUUUACCGUGUUUUAGGAAAGUUUAAAAAUUUUGGAAUAGCCAUCAACUUGACAUCUCUGAUAACUUUAAAGAUCUUUAAGUAUGUGUGCUUAAAUAUCAGAAACACAAUUGAAAAGCCACGUCAUCUUUCUACAGUCCUUGUACUAUAUGUAUACGUGUAGUGCUGAACCACCAAAAGAAACAGAGAUGAGCCUUUAGAAAGAACUCAUGACUUUUUCUUCUUGACAGAAAUCUUGUUUUGAAAAUAUUCAGCUCCGAUUCGACCCCUAGCCUGGGAACCUCCAUAUGCCGCGGGAGCGGCCCAAGAAAUAGCAAAAAAAAAAAAAAAAGAAAAUAUUCAGCAAGGAAAUGCAAGGUUCCUAUCAAAACAGUGGCAAAGCAGUUUAAUGUUCUUAGAUUUGCAGUCCAGCCCUCUUUGUGGGAGCAGAAAGCUCACAUGCCCUACCUAGACAGCCUGUCUUCUGCUCCUGUUCAAGUGUACAAAGUCUUCUGCUUAAAGGACCAAUCAGUCUACAUCCAAGGCAAGCAAGAGAGCUCACCGUUUCAAUUAGCACAGGCACAGAAUUUUGGUUUUGGUUUAGUUUUUUUUUUUUUUUUUUUUUUUUUUUGCUUUUCCAAGACACAUGGAUCAUGUGGCAUAAAAAAGCAAACAUAACAGAGCUAGUUGUCUAUUAACUUGUUUUAAUUGAUGUGGGGAAAGUGCCUAAAUAAGUUUUCAUUAAAUUUGUCCAAAGACAAACAUUAAAGUUAUCUUGCUAAUCAAUGGUGGGUAACUUUAGUUCUAAGCAGUCUCCGCGAAUAAAAACAAUAGUUCCAACAGCUCUUCCUACCCUGUAC
This 2753-nucleotide long non-coding RNA is filed under the name Sus scrofa (pig). RNAcentral describes it as "lncRNA (ENSSSCG00045023468.1)". Lineage: Eukaryota; Metazoa; Chordata; Mammalia; Artiodactyla; Suidae. The record is from RNAcentral.